RNAcentral lists this ribosomal RNA (395 nucleotides) under uncultured bacterium. RNAcentral's name for it is "partial 16S ribosomal RNA". It matches the Rfam family "Bacterial small subunit ribosomal RNA", at positions 523 to 918 of the family's 1533-position model. The record is from RNAcentral.
AUACGUAGGGUGCAAGCGUUAAUCGGAAUUACUGGGCGUAAAGCGUGCGCAGGCGGUUUUGUAAGACAGAGGGGAAAUCCCCGGGCUCAACCUGGGAACUGCCUUUGUGACUGCAAGGCUAGAGUACGGCAGAGGGGGGUGGAAUUCCGCGUGUAGCAGUGAAAUGCGUAGAUAUGCGGAGGAACACCGAUGGCGAAGGCAAUCCCCUGGGCCUGUACUGACGCUCAUGCACGAAAGCGUGGGGUGCAAAUAGGAUUAGAUACCCUGGUAGUCCACGCCCUAAACGAUGUCAACUGGUUGUUGGGGAUUUAUUUUCUCAGUAACGAAGCUAACGCGUGAAGUUGACCGCCUGGGGAGUACGGCCGCAAGGUUAAAACUCAAAUGAAUGGACGGGG